AAAUGCGAUACGCAAUGCGAAUUGCAGAAUUCCGCGAAUCAUCAGAUUCUUGAACGCAACUGGCGCUGGAGGGAUAUCCUUCCAGCAUGUCUGUUUCAGUGUCUGAAAACAUCCUAAAUCAUUCUAAUGUGUUUGACAAGGAAUAAAUCAUAUAUAUCUAUUGAUAUUAUAUUUAUCUUCCAAGUCUUACAUGAAAGAUGUAUGUGUGGGUCUUUGGAUCCAUCGAAUUGGUCAUCGAUUUCUUCGGUGAUUUCGAUUGGAUAUUCACCAAUUACUCGUAUACACAUAGAAUAAAAAUAUAUAUAUAUUUAUAUAUAUAAACUUCUUUAUCAUCUGCAUCUGAAAUCAGGCAAGAAAACCCGCUGAACUUAAGC
Molecule: unclassified non-coding RNA, 374 nt
Filed under: plant metagenome
Description: partial contains 5.8S ribosomal RNA, internal transcribed spacer 2, and large subunit ribosomal RNA
Rfam family: 5.8S ribosomal RNA (bases 1-104)
Source: RNAcentral